RNAcentral lists this microRNA precursor (96 nucleotides) under Anopheles stephensi (Asian malaria mosquito). RNAcentral's name for it is "mir-277 microRNA precursor family". It matches the Rfam family "mir-277 microRNA precursor family". The record is from Rfam by way of RNAcentral. Lineage: Eukaryota; Metazoa; Arthropoda; Insecta; Diptera; Culicidae.
UGAGUUUUGGGGUACGUGUCAGAGGUGCAUUUACAUCGAGCUACAGCCGUUAGAGGUAUUUGUAAAUGCACUAUCUGGUACGACAUUCCAGAAUCG